This 311-nucleotide ribosomal RNA is filed under the name Rhipicephalus sanguineus (brown dog tick). RNAcentral's name for it is "partial large subunit ribosomal RNA". The record is from RNAcentral. Lineage: Eukaryota; Metazoa; Arthropoda; Arachnida; Ixodida; Ixodidae.
UGCUCAAUGAUUUUUUAAAUUGCUGUAGUAUUUUGACUAUACAAAGGUAUUGAAAUAAGAUUUUAAUUGAAUGCUAAGAGAAUGGAAGUCCAGAAAAAAACUUUUUUUAAAUUAAAAAUUGAAGUUUUUUUAAUUUGUGCAGAAACAAUUAUUUAUAUUAAAGACAAGAAGACCCUAUGAAUUUAUUAAAUUUUUAUUUAAUAUGUAAUUACUAUUAGAAAAAUUUUGGCUGGGGCGGCUAGAAAAUAUUAUGAACUUUUUAAAAAUAAAAUGAUCCAUUAUUAAUGAUUUUAUGUUAAAUACUCUAGGGA